This 590-nucleotide long non-coding RNA is filed under the name Homo sapiens (human). RNAcentral's name for it is "HSALNT0394047". The record is from RNAcentral. Lineage: Eukaryota; Metazoa; Chordata; Mammalia; Primates; Hominidae.
GUCAAAAGUUACACAUGAGUACAGCUCACACAGGGAAAGGGGAAAACAGCAACCUCUUGAGCUGGAGCCUUAGGCUAGAAAAGAUCACUGAUUACCCACCUGUUCCCCCUGGAUACUAGGGCUUCAAUCCAGAAGGUGCUGUGAUGAAGUGGCUUCAGCAAAAUAUUACCUGAGACAUCCUGAUCCAUUAUGAGAACGGCUGGAGUGCAAUGGUGCUAUCUCGGCUCACCACAACCUUCGCCUCCCGGGUUCAAGAGAUUUUUCUGCCUCAGCUUCCUGAAAACCUAGGACUACAGGCGUCAGCAGGAUUUGGCCUGGGGAUGGAACAAAGGGACCCCCUGCUGUAGAGCAAGGGAGAAGGGAAUUUUAAAGAAGAGAUUGCAUCAAUAAAGAUUCUUUUAGCAUUAUUUUUAUCAUUAUAAAAAUUACACAUACUUGUUUUAGAUUAUUUGAAAACUUCAGAGCUGUAAAGAUGAAAAUAAAAAUUGCUUAUUAUCUUAAUCGGCAAAAUUAACCAUCCUUAACAUUUUUAUAUGUCUUUUAGUUAUUUUGUAUGCCUAUGUUUAUAAUGAAACAGUUUUGAAUUUUUU